GGCACCAUGGUGUAGUGGUUAUCACAUCUGCCUAACACGCAGAAGGUCCCCAGUUCGAGCAUGAAUGUUGUCU
RNAcentral lists this transfer RNA (73 nucleotides) under Hofstenia miamia. RNAcentral describes it as "tRNA-Val for anticodon AAC". It matches the Rfam family "tRNA". Rfam says of the family: Transfer RNA (tRNA) molecules are approximately 80 nucleotides in length. Their secondary structure includes four short double-helical elements and three loops (D, anti-codon, and T loops). Lineage: Eukaryota; Metazoa; Xenacoelomorpha; Acoela; Hofsteniidae. The record is from RNAcentral.